Anneissia japonica is the source of this 1206-nucleotide long non-coding RNA. RefSeq lists it as uncharacterized. The transcript has 3 exons. The record is from RefSeq and is a predicted model, not a curated record. Lineage: Eukaryota; Metazoa; Echinodermata; Crinoidea; Comatulida; Comatulidae.
UGAUACCACAAUUUCAUAACCACCCCAUUUUUCCGAUACUGCAGCAUAAGAUGUAACCCACGACACAUGAUAGCAUCGACAACACAUUUUUACGAAUAUUAAUUGUUGAUUUAAGCUUAGCAUUUAUUUAUAAUUUAAUAGUUAUUAAAUUAUUAUGAAUUUUUUUAUUUGAAGUAUGGUAAUAAAUCAGGUGAUAGAAAAGAAGGAAGCAAGUCACACAACGAAUCUGCAUUCCAUCUAAAGAUGAGUUGUCAAUCAACAAGAAGAAACCAGAUAAUAAAAAAAGCAUCUGUUGACGACCAAGACCUGCUGUUCAUCUGUGAAGAUCUGGCUCUGAUUGGAGGAGACUAGGAGUGCAGACAACAACACACUGAAAGAUGGCGUCAUGGAAACUCUGGCGUUGAGAGAACAGGGAAUCGUUCAACUUGCGGAACAAUUGUGUGAAAGCUGUGGUAACAAAGGCGCUGCUUGGCGCUGCUUCAAAUCUACCUCAAGUUUCAGCAAAACAUUGACAAGUACGAGGGUACAUUCAAGAUGCUAAUUUAUUAGUUAUAUCUGAGAUGAUGGGUAGAGGUUGGAAAGCUGUUGCCAGGAGUCUUGGAAUAACAGAAGCAGAAAUUGACGAUGUACUCUGUAGAUACAAAGUUUCAGAGACAGAUUGUGGAAACUACUUUAGAAAUGCUUAUCCGAUGGAGGAACAGACAAAGAACAAAUGUAAAUCAACUCACAAUAUUGAAGCCAGAAUUGAUUGAAAAUGAUAACAAGAUUGCUGCUAAUAUAUUAGACACAUACUACCAACAACAGUAGCAACUUGAAAGAACUUUAAUCAAUAAAUUAGAGUUGUACCUAUAGGAAAAGACAAGACGAACAACAAUGCAGUUAUCUGAGUCACAUCCAUGUUGUUUUUUGAAUGACUAUCAGAAAGAACAAAACAAUUUCAAUUAAGAUAUUGGGCUAUACUGAAAGCAGAGAAAAACUAAUCUUGCUGGAGUCCAAGAAAUUGGGAACACACCUUGUAUUUUGUUUACUACUGUAUAAAGAAUUGUCUCUGUGAAGUCAGCUAGCAUGGACAUCACCACGCACUAAUUAAAAAGUAGAUGUAUUAAUAAAACUCUUUAAACCAGAUCUUCAAGCAGACUUUUUGCUUUCAAUUUGGAAACCCUGUAAUGAAAUUAUGUAAAAUUACGUAAAAUGAGGACAAAUAAU